This 169-nucleotide ribosomal RNA is filed under the name uncultured bacterium. Its description in RNAcentral is "partial 16S ribosomal RNA". It matches the Rfam family "Bacterial small subunit ribosomal RNA", at positions 338 to 524 of the family's 1533-position model. The record is from RNAcentral.
CCUACGGGAGGCAGCAGGGGGGAAUAUUGGACAGUGGGCGAAAGCCUGAUCCAGCAAUGCCGCGUGAGUGAUGAAGGCCUUAGGGUUGUAAAGCUCUUUUACCCGGGAUGAUAAUGACAGUACCGGGAGAAUAAGCUCCGGCUAACUCCGUGCCAGCAGCCGCGGUAAU